Molecule: transfer RNA, 71 nt
Filed under: Marmota monax (woodchuck)
Lineage: Eukaryota; Metazoa; Chordata; Mammalia; Rodentia; Sciuridae
Description: tRNA.Ala
Rfam family: tRNA
About the family: Transfer RNA (tRNA) molecules are approximately 80 nucleotides in length. Their secondary structure includes four short double-helical elements and three loops (D, anti-codon, and T loops).
Source: RNAcentral
GGGGUUGUGGCUCAGUUGUAGAGUGCUCGCCUAGCAUGUGUGAAGCACUGGGUUCAAUUCUCAGCACCACA